RNAcentral lists this long non-coding RNA (272 nucleotides) under Elaeis guineensis (African oil palm). Its description in RNAcentral is "long non-coding RNA (EGUI_LNC048898)". Lineage: Eukaryota; Viridiplantae; Streptophyta; Magnoliopsida; Arecales; Arecaceae. The record is from RNAcentral.
AAAAAAAAAAAAGACCAACAUGCGUUAUUAUUUUCAAGAUAUCCUGCUGCUGUGUAGAAAGCUUUUUUUCCUCAUAUUUAAUCUCAAUGAAACCAUUAUAUCCUAUUGAAUUAUUUUAGAAAAAAAUAAAUUAGUAUUUUUUUUUUCUGAAUAGGAUGUUCGUUUUAUAUAAUUUUAAUAUGAAUAUAAUUCAAAAAAUAAAAAAAAAAAAAUCUCAGAACGACGUCAACAAUUGGAAGAAAUUAUUCCAAACUUCACAAAAAUACUGAGCA